GUGGAGCUAUGAAUUUGAGGGUAAUGGUUCUUUUCUUUUUGACUUCUUCCUCUUGAUGUUGCUUCAUGCUCAGCUCAUGAGUCAUCAAUGAUCCAAGAAGCUCUUCCAAGGGUAGAAUGUUCAAGUCCUUAGCUUCUUGGAUGGCAGUCACUUUAGCUUCUCAAGUUCUUGGUAGGGACCUGAGAAUCUUUCUUACAAUCUC
This 202-nucleotide long non-coding RNA is filed under the name Elaeis guineensis (African oil palm). Its description in RNAcentral is "long non-coding RNA (EGUI_LNC054501)". The record is from RNAcentral. Lineage: Eukaryota; Viridiplantae; Streptophyta; Magnoliopsida; Arecales; Arecaceae.